RNA transcript from Zingiber officinale, 1373 nucleotides. RefSeq lists it as uncharacterized. The record is from RefSeq and is a predicted model, not a curated record. NCBI's taxonomy places the organism in Eukaryota, Viridiplantae, Streptophyta, Magnoliopsida, Zingiberales, Zingiberaceae. The transcript has 4 exons.
AACUGAGUGAAUAUGAUAUUUAAUACCAACCCUGAAUAGUCAUCAAAGCUUAAGGCUUGACAAAUUUCUUGAGUGAAACUCAAGGCCAACAAUCAAAAGAAACAUGGAAGAUUUUUAUUGAUGGAUAUCUACCGACAAGGCAGCAAUGUCUGGAUCCUGUUAAUCUCUCCUCGAGAGCAUACGCUCCAGCUUUCCGCGAUAUUCGCAAUGUUUCUAGGAUUCCGGCAGCCAGCGCGGUGGCGGUGGCUUCUUCGUCUAGCACGGUUGUUGGCGCCAGAAGCCACGAAAGCGGUGGGCAACGUGCGGGAGCAGGAUCGCUCCCUCCCCAUCGCUAACAUCAUUCAGAUCAUGAAGUCCCUGCCAAUGCCAAGGUCCCCCCUCCUCCAGACAUUCCAUCGACCAGUUUGCUUGCUUGCUCUUCUUCCGCAUCUGCCACGGAUACAGACGCCAUCGUGCACCACAUCCUCUCUAGUCUGAGCAACGCUCGCGACGUCGCCGCCUGCGCCUGCGUCGUCUCACACUGCUGGAACGAGGUCGUGCCCUACAUCCCCUCCCUCUAUUUCCCCGCAACUCCUUGGACGAUGCUUCUUAUCUUUUCAACCCGUCGCUGCUCCCCUCUCAUUGGCUUCGGUUCGAUUGACGCAAAGCGACUCUUGUUGUAGCUCUAGCCAUGGCUGCCCAAUUCCAAACCCUUCUCCUGUCUUCCUCCUCUUCUCGCCCUUUCCACGCUGCCCUCCUAGCCCAUCCCCUCGGUCUCUCCCUUUCGACCUCAGCGCUCGCCCCAUGGGCAAUCGCUACUACAGAUCAGAGAACCCUGCAUCAGGUAAACGAAUAUUGGUGUUUUUAUAUGCUUAAAGUGUAGUGAUGUUCACAGGCCUCUUGGUACAGAUGUAUCAAAGGUGCUGCCUUUGACAUUAGAAGAAUGGACUGAAAGCGACAUUGAUUCCAUGAUUGAAGUGGGCGGCAAUUCAUAUGCCAACUCAAUAUAUGAGGCUUUUCUUCCUAAAGGGCAUCGAAAACCUAAACCAGAUUCAAGUCCAAGUAUGAGUUGUAAGAUUUCCUAAAACCAAGUUUGGGUAUAUCCUUCAAAACAUAUGAAUUCAAGGGAUUUAGAUCACAAGCAUCGACCCUGUAGUUCAAAGAAGACAAACAUUCAAAGAAGUAAAUAAAGUGAAUUCGUCUACUCCUAUAUGGUUGUCCAAGGGUCGUGUACACUAUGAUAUACAUUCUUAGGUUGUAUUUAGAUAUUUGUAGAUAUAUUUUUGAAUGAAGUUGGUCAGACAUGUCUAGUUUGAACUUGUGGAUUUUAUUUGUUGAUUUCAACACUUUAUUUGAGUCAGUUGGAUUUCAUUUUUAAUUUUGUAGAUAUUUUA